This is a long non-coding RNA of Falco peregrinus (peregrine falcon), 1670 nucleotides long. RefSeq lists it as uncharacterized. The record is from RefSeq and is a predicted model, not a curated record. NCBI's taxonomy places the organism in Eukaryota, Metazoa, Chordata, Aves, Falconiformes, Falconidae. The transcript has 3 exons.
GCCAACGCCGAAUACCAGCUGGGAACAGGCGCUCUGAGAGCGGCGCGGGCGACCGCCAGCAGGCGCGGGUAUCCUACAGGGGCGCCUCCGAGGAGAGGACCAGACCGGUCGCGCCCCAGCGGCACGCCACUCCGCCGAGUGGGGAGACGGUUCUGCUAGGUACUCACCGUAAGGAGCCCCUCACCCUACCGCGCUCCUUCUGUCGUUACCGCUUCCUGCUCCCCAGCACGCUGAAAAACGAGGCAGGCGCCGGCCAAUCGCGACUCGCAUUCCCGGCCUGCACUACGCGGCGGAAAUGAUGGCAGAGUCACCUUUCACAUGACAGGAAUCACCUCAAUGACACUCUGGAGAAAUCUGUAUUAAUUAAGACAACCUGAUAAGCCUUCUGAACACGACAUGCAGAUGAGUUUGGGAAUAAUAUUAAAGCAUAGAUGUUCUCCUCCAGUUCUGAGCUUCUCAUGGCAGUGUUGAAGAAGGCAGAGAACAUCCAGCCAGACUGAGUGUUGGUUGCCUCUCCCAGGGAGAGCUGUGAAGUAGCAAACAGACAAAAAUGAAUACCAAACUAAUCAUAGAAAAGUGUGAAUCAUACAUUUCCCUUCUUUAAAAAAAACCCAUCUUGUCUGAAGAAAUGAAGGAAUUAAUAAACUGCAGAUGUAAACCCAAAAAUUCAGAAGCCAUGCUUAUGUGCAGAAUUGAGUAGAUAACUAUUUUCGAAAAGCAGUUGAUUCAGAUUAUAAAUGAAGGACAAAAGGGACCAUUAGCUUAUCUAUCACAAGGCUAUCCACCUAGCAGCCUGUGACCUACACCCAGCUUGCUGGAGAGUUCUGUCUGGCUCGCCAAAUAGGUUUGAAAGCUGCUUAGUGCACUCACACAGCCAGAUCUCCCACCACACUGUCCUGCAUUAUGACCAAAUGAUUCAUUCACCCAGGGAGGUGCAGAAUUCAGAUAGCUACAACGUGGCCUUUUCUGGUCUCAUCUAUUAAAAAAAGUCUUAUGAAAUCAAUUGCUCAUUACUGUAAUGGUACAAUCAUUUGCAGUAAAACUCUGUAUCAGAAGACUCAACAUGUCACAUUACACAAUGACUUGUUCUGUCCAUGAAAGGACUUUACUGUCAUGCCUAGAGCAAGCCAGAUGUGUGCUAUUACGCAAGAGAAAAACAUUUCUGUAGAGCCCCUUUGUCCUGAUUUUGGCUAGGAUAGAGUUAAUUUUCUUAGUAGCUGGUACAGUGCUGUGUUUUGGAUUUAGUAUGAGAAUAAUGUUGAUAACACACUGAUGUUUUAGUUGUUGCUAAGUAGUGCUUACUCUAAAUCAGGAACAUUUUUCAGUUUUCCAUGCUCUGCCCGUGAGCAGGUAUACAAGAAGCUGGGAGGGAGCAGAGCCAGAACAGCUGACCUGAACUAGCUAAAGGGAUAUUCCAUACCACAGAACAUCAUGCUCAGUAUUGAUAUACUGGGGGGAGUUGGGCAGGGUCCGCUGAUAGCUGCUCGGGGACUGGUUGGGCAUUGGUCAGCAGGUGGUGAGCAGCUGUAUUGUGCAUCACUUGUUUUCCUUUCUCCCUUUCCCUUUGGAUUUUAUCCUUUUCCCCACCUUUCCAUUAUAACUAUUAUUAUUAUUAUUGUUCUUACUUUUUUAUUCUGUUUAAAUUAUUAAAUUGUUCUCUCAACCCUUGA